RNAcentral lists this small RNA (206 nucleotides) under Saimiri boliviensis boliviensis (Bolivian squirrel monkey). Its description in RNAcentral is "Metazoan signal recognition particle RNA (ENSSBOG00000015507.1)". The stretch from base 38 to 191 matches the Rfam family "Metazoan signal recognition particle RNA", at positions 96 to 252 of the family's 299-position model. From Rfam's summary of the family: The signal recognition particle (SRP) is a universally conserved ribonucleoprotein. It is involved in the co-translational targeting of proteins to membranes. The record is from RNAcentral. Lineage: Eukaryota; Metazoa; Chordata; Mammalia; Primates; Cebidae.
UUCGGAGUUGGAAGAAACCUUUAGAAGCUGGUCAUUAUGCCAACUGGGUGUCCGCACUAAGUUUGGCACCAAUAUGGUGACUUGGGAGCGGAGGGCCACCAGGUUGCCUCAGGAUGGGUGAACUGGCCCAGGUCAGAAAGGGAGCCGGUCAGAACUCCCAGGUGGAUAGGUAGUGGGACUGCACCAGGGCAACAUAGUGAGACCUU